UAGGGAAUCUUCCACAAUGGACGCAAGUCUGAUGGAGCAACGCCGCGUGAGUGAAGAAGGCUUUCGGGUCGUAAAACUCUGUAUUGAAGAAGAACGUGCGUGACAGUAACUGGUCAUGCAGUGACGGUAUUCAAUCAGAAAGUCACGGCUAACUCGUGCCAGCAGCCGCGGUAAUACGUAGGUGGCAAGCGUUGUCCGGAUUUAUUGGGCGUAAAGCGAGUGCAGGCGGUCUUUUAAGUCUGAUGUGAAAGCCUUCGGCUUAACCGAAGAAGGGCAUCGGAAACUGGGAGACUUGAGUGCAGAAGAGGAGAGUGGAAC
RNAcentral lists this ribosomal RNA (318 nucleotides) under uncultured bacterium. RNAcentral's name for it is "partial 16S ribosomal RNA". It matches the Rfam family "Bacterial small subunit ribosomal RNA", at positions 355 to 667 of the family's 1533-position model. The record is from RNAcentral.